UACGUAGGGUGCAAGCGUUGUCCGGAAUUAUUGGGCGUAAAGAGCUCGUAGGCGGUUUGUCGCGUCGGAUGUGAAAACCCGGGGCUUAACCCCGGGCCUGCAUUCGAUACGGGCUGACUAGAGUACGGCAGGGGAGACUGGAAUUCCUGGUGUAGCGGUGAAAUGCGCAGAUAUCAGGAGGAACACCGGUGGCGAAGGCGGGUCUCUGGGCCGAUACUGACGCUGAGGAGCGAAAGCGUGGGGAGCGAACAGG
RNAcentral lists this ribosomal RNA (253 nucleotides) under uncultured bacterium. RNAcentral's name for it is "partial 16S ribosomal RNA". It matches the Rfam family "Bacterial small subunit ribosomal RNA", at positions 524 to 776 of the family's 1533-position model. The record is from RNAcentral.